GCCUGGAUAGCUCAUUUGGUAGAGCAUCAGAUUUUUAAUCUGAGUGCCUAGGGUUCAAGUCCCUGUUCAGGUG
Bos taurus (domestic cattle) is the source of this 73-nucleotide non-coding RNA. The record is from Rfam. NCBI's taxonomy places the organism in Eukaryota, Metazoa, Chordata, Mammalia, Artiodactyla, Bovidae.